UACGUAGGGUGCAAGCGUUGUCCGGAAUUAUUGGGCGUAAAGGGUUCGUAGGUGGCCGGCUAAGUCAGACGUGAAAUCCCUCAGCUUAACUGGGGAACUGCGUCUGAGACUGAUCGGCUUGAGUGCAGGAGAGGAACGCGGAAUUCCAGGUGUAGCGGUGAAAUGCGUAGAUAUCUGGAGGAACACCGGUGGCGAAGGCGGCGUUCUGGACUGCAACUGACACUGAGGAACGAAAGCCAGGGGAGCAAACGGG
Molecule: ribosomal RNA, 253 nt
Filed under: uncultured bacterium
Lineage: Bacteria
Description: partial 16S ribosomal RNA
Rfam family: Bacterial small subunit ribosomal RNA
Source: RNAcentral